ACUCUCAAAAUAAAUGGAAGGCUCUCGUGCUUCUUGAUAGUGAAGGUUUCGAAAUAGACAAUGGAAUUUAGUAAAGAUGGAAAGUGUUUGAACAUCAUCGUGCUCUGCCAAGGGCCUAAUCAGGGAAGACAAAUGAAUUCGAAAAUGACAUUGUCUACGGCAGAGCUUUAGAAGGAACAUUAUCUCUACAUGGCAGCAAUAGUGACCAUAAGUCGUUUGCGAUCACUAUGCAAAGGGCAAGUGUAUCAGGACUUAAUCGGGGAUCUGUUUAUUAAACUCUUUGCUGCCUGCAGCCUUUGUGUUGUCAGUGAGGAUAAAAGUAUGAAGUAAGAUGUUGCAUUAUGGACUCGCCGACAUACAUAUUGUGGAAUAUGUGCAUUCUUGAAGGAAAUAACAAGGAUGCUCUGCAAUUCCUACAGUGAAUGAAACAAUAUGGACUUGCCGAUAUACAUAUUGUAGAACAUGUGCAUUCUUGAAAGAAAUAACAAGGGUGAUGCUCUACAAAUCGUACAGUGAAUCAAACAAUGUGGACUUGUCGACAUGCAUAUUGGGGAAUAUGUGCAUUCCUGAAGAAAAUAACGUGACAAGCAAUCGUGGGCCCUAACUGAAGAGAACCAUUUCAAAGAAUGGAACCAAUGUAUUCUUACCGUAGGAUUUCAAAGAGGCUGCUGCUUUUAUUAAAUUUGAAAUAAUCCUCACUCGAACAAUACAAUAUACCUUUGGUGCAUUUGGUGCAAAUGGAUUGGCUUGAAUAACUAAACACGUCAAGACGAGAACUGUUGGAAGAAAACC
This is a long non-coding RNA of Ctenocephalides felis (cat flea), 792 nucleotides long. RefSeq lists it as uncharacterized. NCBI's taxonomy places the organism in Eukaryota, Metazoa, Arthropoda, Insecta, Siphonaptera, Pulicidae. The transcript has 6 exons. The record is from RefSeq and is a predicted model, not a curated record.